This 356-nucleotide ribosomal RNA is filed under the name Methylobacterium sp. HSC5. RNAcentral's name for it is "bacterial SSU rRNA". It matches the Rfam family "Bacterial small subunit ribosomal RNA", at positions 214 to 586 of the family's 1533-position model. Lineage: Bacteria; Pseudomonadati; Pseudomonadota; Alphaproteobacteria; Hyphomicrobiales; Methylobacteriaceae. The record is from RNAcentral.
ACUGCCGAAGGAUCGGCCCGCGUCUGAUUAGCUAGUUGGUGGGGUAACGGCCUACCAAGGCGACGAUCAGUAGCUGGUCUGAGAGGAUGAUCAGCCACACUGGGACUGAGACACGGCCCAGACUCCUACGGGAGGCAGCAGUGGGGAAUAUUGGACAAUGGGCGCAAGCCUGAUCCAGCCAUGCCGCGUGAGUGAUGAAGGCCUUAGGGUUGUAAAGCUCUUUUGUCCGGGACGAUAAUGACGGUCCGGAAGAAUAAGCCCCGGCUAACUUCGUGCCAGCAGCCGCGGUAAUACGAAGGGGGCUAGCCGUUGCUCGGAAUCACUGGGCGUAAAGGGCGCCGUAGGCGGCCAUUCAA